Molecule: long non-coding RNA, 27236 nt
Filed under: Gossypium barbadense (sea-island cotton)
Lineage: Eukaryota; Viridiplantae; Streptophyta; Magnoliopsida; Malvales; Malvaceae
Description: long non-coding RNA (GBAR_LNC019763)
Source: RNAcentral
UUAAGGCUGGUAAUGCUUUCCACAAGUAUAGAGUGAAGAGGAACUGCUGGCCUAAGGUUCGUGGUGUGGCUAUGAACCCAGUUGAGCAUCCCCACGGAGGUGGUAACCAUCAACACAUUGGUCAUGCUAGUACAGUUAGACGUGAUGCUCCACCUGGACAAAAGGUUGGUCUUAUUGCUGCAAGGAGGACUGGUAGGCUCAGAGGACAAGCUGCUGCCACUGCUGCCAAGGCCGAUAAGGCAUAAUAGGAUACUAGUUGUUUUGGCGUUUAUAUUUACAUCAAUGACUGUUAAAGCACAUUUAAGCUAGAAAUUUUGUUUGAAAUUUCAGAUAUGGUACUGUUUUGGAGUUUGGAUGACAGUUGUUUAUGUUUUCGAGUUUGGGUUUUUAUGUGAAAGUGUUUUAUGCCAGUGUUUCCAAUCAUUGUUCUAUUCGUAGCUUCCAUAAUGAUUUGGUUUACGAUUACAUAAUGUUUUCCUAAAUGGUUGGUUGUUGACGUAAUUGAAAGUUUGAACAGUUAUAUCUAAAUGAACAAUGACACACUGUUCAAACAUAUAUAAGCAACUUUCAAUUUCCUUUUUAUAGAACAUCUUCCAAAAUUUUUAAUAUGUUUAUAUACAUAUUUUUUAUGUAAGGAUAACGAUCAAAACUAUACAUUUGAUACAUAUAGAGUUUGAUUUUUUUUUUAUAAUUAUACAUAUCAAACUUUAAUUUUUUAAUUUUAGUUAACAUGUAUACAUAAGUAUUUGAUUUUAAUUCAAUUAUACAUACAAAAAAAUGAACAUAUUUUUAUAUUAAGUAAGUAUAAUUAUUUGUAUAUGUAACAUGUAAACAUAAAAUGAUGUUAGUUCAUGUGUAACAUUGCACAUCGAACCAAAGUUAAUGUGUAGUUUUGCCCCUAAUAUAUAUUACUAUAUAUUUAAUUUUAUGUGUUAUAAAUUACAAAAAUAUAUAAAAAAUAAUAUAAUAUAAUAAAUUACAAACUUAAAAUAGAUUAAGUCAAGCUCAGGCCUUGAAUUCUUGAGCCCGAGCUUGGUUCAUAUUUGAAAUAGGCUUAAUCUUAUAGUUUAAACCCAUUUUUCAUGGUCUACUUUUUUUCAAACCUUUCUAAUCUUUGGAUGGACAUUUAAGCUUAGGCGAUAGUUCAACCCUUGAAUAGAUCUGAAUUUGAGCUCAUAAAUUAAUUAAAAUAAAAUUUAUCAUAAAUUGAUAAAAAUAAAAUCAAUCAAAAAUGAAGUAAUUUAUUUAUUUAUUUAUUGAAGAAAAGAAAGAAAUACUAUUGUAAAACAUUUACGAUAUAAUAUAUAUUAACUUCUUUAAAUUUUAAAUUUAGACUUAAUUAAUUAAUUAAUUAAUUAAUUAAUUGCGUUGGAUUAUUUUACAUUUGAGUACUUAAUUUUAUUAAUUGUGCUGGGGUAUUUAUUGAAAUUAAUUAAUUAAUUAAUUAAUUGUAUUUAGUUAUUUUGUAUUUAUGUUGGUUUAUAUGCCUAAUUGGUUAUUGUGUAUUUGAAUUUUAGGUUGGGUUUAAUGUUUGAUCAGCUAGUAUAUUUAAAAUAAAAAAUCAACAUAAAAAUUACCUAAAUCGAAUAAAUUGAUAAAAUUAAAUCAAAUAAAUUGAAAUAAUUCAAUUCAUGAAAGGGAGGAUUGUUUAGGGUCAAUUUGACAUUGAUGUUACGGUUGAGAAGUGUUUUUAAAAAGCUUGGUCUGGAAAUAGUGCUUUUGGAAAGUUUCGGGGGAAAAUGUUGUGAAAAAGUGUGGCUUUAGAAACAAAUCUAGAAGAUUUAAAAGUUACUGGUUAUAAAUCAGAUGAAGAAAAUACUUCAACUGAUAAUGAUGAAAAUAUAGAUAUCCCAGAACCUAUGGAUACUGAACAAACAUAUCCUUAUGGAAAAAUAAAAAUAAAAUCAGAUCUUCAAAAAGAUGAUUACCUAAGAACUUUCAAUAAAGAAUUUGAAAAAGUAGAAAAUACAACUAGGAUUUUUUAUAAUAAAAUGAAAAUAUAGCUAAAAAUAUUGUAAAACCUGAAUAUCCAGGAGAAAUGUCUAGUCAACCUAUUCAACAAAGAAUAGAUUAUUUAAAUAAAAGAAAUGUGGCUCAAGGAGGAAUAUAUUUAGACUUAACUAAUAGUCCUAUAUCGGACUAUUAAAAAACCAUAGAUGAUUGGGCACAGUCUAUGACUACUGUAGUAAACAACAAUACAUGGUCAAAAAAAAUUUUAAACUACUUUGUAGGAACAUUUCAAGGAGAUGUUCUACAAUUUCUCAGACGAUGGGAAGAAUCUGAGAAAGGAAAAGAACAAAAAGGGCAGUUAAUCAACAGAUAUGAACUCCCAAAGAUCUUUUAAAAGAACUAAUAUUUAUCCUAAAAUUUUGUAGUUAUUUUGAUAAAAUAAGAGUAAAAGAAAAAUUAGAUAAAAAAUCUAGAAAAACUAGAUUGGAAGAAAUGCAAACUUCAACAAUUAUUAGACAAAUAAAAGUUGGAAAAAAUGAUAUAAUUACAUUCUCAAGUUUUCAAUCAAAGAAAUAUUAUACAUAUAUUGAAAUUAUAUUUCAAUUUAGAGAAUAUAAAACAUAUUUUUUACAUGCUUUAUUAGAUACAGGAGCUACAACCAGUAGUUGUAGAAAAAAUGUUAUUCCUGUAGAAAAAUGGGAACCUAUGAAACAUCCUAUAAAGGCAAUAAGGAUAGAUGGUAAUGAAACCAUAAUUCAAUAUAAAGCUAAAAAUAUACCAAUCUACAUAAAUAAUGUUAGAUUUAUAAUAUCAAAAAUUUUAUGUUUUCCUGAAAUGCAUGGAGACAUAUUAUUAGGAAAUAAUUUUAUAUAUCAACAUUUACCAUUUUAUAUUGAUAAAAAAUCAAUUAGAUUAACUAGAGAAAAAUCUGCUAUAGAAAUACCAUUAGUAGAAAACCAUAAGUUUGUGUGUGAUAAAAAUUUUACACCACCAAGAAAAGAGCAAAUUAAACACCUAGAAACAAAUUGGUUGUUUAAAAUUUUAGAGGAUAAUUUUAGUGAAGAACCAUUAAAAUUAUGGCAAAAUAGUCCUAGAUACUGUGAAAUUAAAUUGGAAAAUCCCAAUAAAAUUAUUAGAGUUAAACCUAUGAUCUAUACUAAACAAGAUAUAGAUGAAUUUGAUAUUUAAAUUAAUGAAUUAUUAGAAAAAAGUUUAAUAGAAAAAACUAACAGUCCGCAUUCUAAUCCAACUUUUAUGGUAAGAAACCAUGCUGAAAUAAAAAGAGGAAAACCUAGAAUGGUUAUUAAUUAUAAAAGAAUAAAUCGAAAUAUUAUUUUUGAUGAAUAUUUUAUUCCAAGAAAGGAUGUUUUAAUAAAUCAAGCUAAACAAGCGAAAUAUUUUAGUAAAUUUGAUUUUAAAUCGGGAUUUUGGCAAAUAAUGCUAACCGAAGAAUCAAAACCUUUAACAGCUUUUAGUGUUCCUAAUGGACAUUAUCAAUGGAGAGUAAUGCCAUUUGGGUUAUGUAAUGCACCACAAAUCUUCCAAAGAUGGAUGGAUUUUAUAUUUAAUAAAUAUAAAAUUUUUUGUGUAGUUUAUAUAGAUGAUAUUUUAAUUUUCUCUGAUACAUUAGAGAAACAUAGAAAACAUUUAAAUAUUAUAUCUCAAGAAUUCAUACAACAUGGAAUUAUUUUAAGCCCUAAAAAGAUAGAGCUAGAAAAAACAGAAAUAGAAUUUUUAGGAUUAAGACUAUCUGUAAAUGGUCUUCAACUACAAGAUCAUAUUAUAAUAAAAAUAAAAGAAUUUCUUGAAAAUAUUGAAGACAAAAAACAACUUCAACAAUUUUUAGGAAUUAUUAACUACGGAAGAAAUUUCUUUCCUAACUUAGCUGAAAAAAUAGGUAAGUUAUAUGAUAAAUUAAAAAAGGAAAAACCUUUCAUCUGGUCUAAAAAAGACUCAGAAAUUAUAAAAAAAAUCUAAAAUCUGAGAUAAAUAAAAUUCCAAAAGUAUAAUUACCUAAACAAGGAGAUAAAUUAAUUUUAGAAACAGACGCAUCACAAAAUUAUUGGGGAUGUGUUUUAAUAGCUAAAACAGUCAAUAAUGACGAAUUAAUAUGUGGUUAUAGUUCUGAAAAAUUUAAACCAAAUGAAAUUAAUUAUAUUAUAUACGAAAAAGAAUUAUUAGCAAUAAAAAAGGGAAUACAAAAUUACGAUAUACAUUUAGCACCUGAAAAUUUUAUUAUAAAAACUGAUAAUCAAGCGAUCAAACAAUUCCUUACUAAUAAAAAUUUAGAAACUGUACCUAGAAGAAUUAGUGGUAUAAUGAAUUAUGUACUUUUAAUUUUGAAGUUUUAUAUGUAAAAAGUACUGAUAACAUUAUUGCUGAUUAUCUUAGCAAGCCUUAUGGAUAGAGGUAAAAAACUCUAAUAAAAGAAACAGUUGGAGAAUAGACGACUGUUCAUAAAAAGCCCAACAAAGGGAAAAUAACAACAAAUUCCAAAUAAGGAUUUGUAUCUGUACAAGUACCAUUUUAUCCUAAUCAAGAAUAUUAUGUGUCUUAUCCAAUGGUAAAUCAACCUAUUGAAACUUCUUUAUCAUUGACACCAAAAGUGGUAAGUCAAUCACAAUGGUCCCAAGAUCUAAAUUCGGCAUUUCAAGCCAGUUAUGCUGAUAUGAUUGAGGGAGCAGAGAAUUUGUUGAAACAAUAACUGUAGUAGGCCCAAUUUGCCCAUGCCCAAGACAAAUAAAAAAGGAGUCCAAAAUACAAGCCCAAUAAAACAAUCCAAUUUUUUUACAAACCAAACCCAAAACAAACUCAAUCCAAAUAAACCCAAAACAAACCCAAUUUAAUUACAAAACCUAAAACCUAAACAGAAACCCUAACCCUAGCCUGCCACGUCCAAUUCUGCCACUUCCGUUAGCGCCGCACCAACUUUGUCGCCACUGCCCGCUUGCCUGCAAUAGAAGUGACAAAUAGAUUAAAAAAAUAAGUUGUAAAUGGCUAUAUAAGCCAUGAAGAAAAAAUAUUGUAGCCCUCGGUUUUUUUUAAUACAAAAAAAAGAUUCAAGCAAAAAAAGAGAAAGAAACAUUGAAAACUAGUCUUUUUUUAACAGAGGUAUAUGUCCAUUUUUUUCGCAUGUUUAUUUUGAAUAUCGCAUACAUAUAUAUAUAUUCAAAAAUAGAAAAAAAAAUUUACCUUUCUUGCGAUCGGAGAAGACAGAACCGAAGGGUUCUCUUUUUUUUUUAGAAUUUUAGGGGUUUUAGGGCAUUUCAACCCCAAAUCGAGGUUCUACUCAAAAAAAGAGCAAAAAAAGAAUUUUUGUGUUUUUUGGCCACCGCGGACAGCGGCGGUGCCGUCGCCGGUGACCGGUGGCUGGUGCAACGGCGACUAGCCGGACCAACGACCGGAGCUAAGCUGGAGAGUGAGUGCUGAGAGAAAGUUGAGAGAGAGUUUUAAGUUUUUUUUAGAACAAGGGAUAAAUGAUUUUUUGUUCCAAAAAAUACUAAUAUAGGCCCUCAAAACGAUGUCGUUUUGAGGUUGGCCUUAAACGCCCAAAAUGGCAUCGUUUGGCCUCUGAUUCGUGCGUUAACCUGACCCGUCUGGGAGGAUCCGCGUGUUUUUGAUUGAUGGGUUAUUUGCACUUUUGGCCCUUCCGCUUUUCUAUUUGUUUACAAUUAAAUUUCUUUCAUUUUUUAAUUUUGCUCUAUAAUUUAUUUCAGCUCUCAAUUCGGUCCACCUUGAAGCUAUGCAUUUUGGAGGGUGGGGAUUAUUUCCCAUUUGGUCCCUCCUUGUUAUUCGCGCGUUCAACUUGGUCCUUAGCCUUUUUAUUUAUUUUUGAUUUGCCCCAAAUUUCUAUUUUAAAGUUCAAUUUAGUCAUUUUUGUUAUCUUUGCUAUUUUAUUAUUAAAUUAAUUAAUGUAAUAUUAUUAUUAUUACUAUUAUUAUUUUCCUUAUAUAUAUUUUGUUUUUUUUAUAUUUUUAUAUUUUUACUAUUUUUAUUUCCAUUUAAAUACAUAGUUAUUAUUUCUUGGUGCUUUAGUAUUUAAAAUUGUCUUCAUUUUUUAUUAUAUUUUAUUAUAUUUUUUAUUUUCAUUUCAUUUCAUUUUUAUAUUAUUAUUAUUUAUUAUUAUUAUUAUCAUCAUUAUUAAACUGUUUUAAUUAUUAUUUAUUUAUUCAUUUAUGUGUCCAUUAUUAUUUUUUAAAAUUUUUUAAUUUUUAUUUGUUUAUUUACUUAUUAUUAUAUAUAUAAUUCGUUUGUCUUUUUUUUAACUUAUUUUUGUUUUUUCUCGUAUUAUUUUUAUUUACAUUAUCGUAUUUAUUAUUCCGUUAUGCAUAUUAACACCGUACUUUAUUUCUACCAAUUCGUGUUACAUUAAUCAUUACUCAAUACAUAAAUUUUUUAAAUAAACGAUAUGUCGUAUUUUGAGAUUCGAAAAGUCGUUCCCCUAACUUACGGGUUUUCAAUUUUCUCGAUAAAUCCGAAUACACGAAUCCUUUUUAAACAUAAAUUUUUUUAACAAUCUCGGGAAUUAAUAAAAGAUCGUGUUCUAACUUACAGGACAUGAUUCCUUUUCUAAAACUGAGAUAAUUGAAUAUUUUCAAAAUAAGUAAAUUUUUCGGCAUUUUUUCUCGUAUCGGGGUUUAAGACAUUGUGUCCUAACUUACGGGACGUAAUUUUCUUUCUCGAUUAACGUGAAAUAUGCUCCUUUCUCGAAAAUUUUUAAUAUUUUAACAAAGGAUCAUAUUUUAAAUCUUUUCAAAGUUUUUAAUUUUCGACACUAAGACAUUAGUUAAUCAACUAGGUACCAAUUUUUUGGCGUUACGAGGGUGCUAAUCCUUCCUCGUACGUAACUGACUCCCGAACCCAUCUUUCUGAAUUUCGUGGACCAAAAUCGUUAUUUUAAUAAAUCAAGUCGUUUAUUCAAAAACAACUAUUACGAGGUGACCCAAUCACACCUCAUAAAAAUGAUCAGUGGCGACUCCCAUAUUCGUUUUCAUUUUCAAAAUUAAAGUCGACCCUGUUUUCAAAAAAAUGGUUUCGACAUAUUGAUGACUCUAUUGGGGAUCCAAAAUAAGAGAGUCAAGCCAUAAGUUGAUUAUUUUUUGUCUUUUUGUCGAAAAUUGAAAACUUGGUUUAAAUGUACGAUUCUUUCGUUGCAUUUCAUCCGUCUUUGUUACGACCUUUUCUCAUCAUUGUGGUUUAUAAUUGUUGUGUUGGUUUAAGUUUUGGUAUCUUUCUGCACAUUGCAUCUCAUGAUCGGUCGAUCUUACCCUUUUAAGUGAGAGUGAGAAACUACUCAUUCGUGAGGUUUUCACCUUCGCAUGGGAUAGUGAAUCGCUUUCGGGAUACAUCCGUACCUAUGUCUUCGUAAGAUUUUCAUCUCUGCAUGGCCAUAGAGAAAUGUAUUCCCUGAACUGAACUCGGUCCAUAUGAGCCUAUAAUGGGUGAGGAUCGAGGAAUCUGCCGGUUCGAGUACCUUUACUUUAAAACCGAACCCCAUAUAGCGAGCCUUAAGAGCCCACCCUAGGUAGAUCCACUCCAAACCCCUAAUGGUCAUCCAAAUAGGUGCUCUGUUUAUCAUUUUUUUUGUACUGAUGUGUUUCUUUUGUUUUGGUUUUGAUUGUAUUGCAUUUUCAUAGAAAAUAGGUGUUGGUUCACGUUCAGUUGCUAAAUAGAGAGCUUGUCAUGAAAAAUGGAUUUCAUGAUAAAGUGGAAGACAAUGCGGUCGUUCGAAUAUGGUCUGAGAAAACGUAACGAGGAAAGGGUGAUAGUCUGAUGAAUGAGUACACGACUUUGCUUCGUUGCCCGAAGAUUCAAGUCGAUAAAGCUUAUUCGAAAGUCGUCAACAUCCCAGCUUUCUUAAAGAAGCUAACAAGUAUCACGAGGAUGAGUGAGCAAUGGGUCACAACCUGGAUCGAGAAAAAAGAAGCUAGUAGAGGCAUCCAUUGGAAAUUUCGAUAGAUUUGAUCUUAACAUCCGGAUAUGAAGAAAGGGAUCGAUGUCUUCGUCUAGAGUGUGAGGGCAAGGCCAUAUAUGUAAAUAUCUGUUUUAUGUAAAGAGAUUUUUUUUCUAUUAAAUUUGUUCUAAUAGAAUUGAAUCAGAAUCAACACAUCUUUUUGCAUUCAUUCCAUUCAUUUGCAUUACAUUUCAUUGCAUACAAUAAAUUUCCUAAAAUCCAAAAGUGUGUCAAGUUCAGAACUCUAGUACAGAGCCUGUUGGAUGAUAAAUAAUUGGAAUUCUUUGAAGAUAUCAAUGGUUAGAAAGGGAAAGAUGUUUGUGCCUUUGAAGAAGGAACUAAAACAACAACAACAACAACAAUAACAAAAACAAAAAAAACCUAUCAAGAAUUUGUUCCUACAUCCCUAGAGGCGUUCUGAACAGCCGGACUGUGAAGAAGAUUCUUGUAGUUUUUAGGACCAUUUCAGAGUAAUAUUCAGAACACUCUUAUUGCUCUAAGCCUGGGAGCAAUAGAAAUCCUUUUGUAAAACAGAUACAUGUCCACUUUUUUUUUAUUUCAACGAAAUGCAUCUUUGUGUCUCGUUUUGGCAAACUUUCUUUUAUUCAUUCACUUCUUUCAUAUUCAUACCAUGUAAAUAAUUGUUCUUAGAUUCAUUUAUUCUUUGGAUAUUCUUUCGUGCCUACAACAGGUCUCUAGAUAUCAACGACAUGAGCGACGCUGUUACUGACCCAAAAUCUUCUUUUGAACGAGACAUCUGUCUGGAGGGGUCUCAGGAAUUUGAAGAUGACCGAGACUAUAGCUUAUCUCCUGAUUUGUUAAGGAUAGUAGAGCAAGAUGAGAAACAGAUCCUAUCUCACAAAGAAUCAAUAGAAUCUAUGGGUUUUCUCUAUGUGGGGCAUGGAUGUCACUGGGCCGAUCUCGCCAAAAGCUUCUGACGUUCGUCAAUUCAUCUUUAUGGUCGUCGAUUACUUCACUAAGUGGGUGCAAGCUGCUUUAUAUGCCAAUGUCACAAAGUCAACAGUCAGCAAAUUCUUGAAAAAAAGAAAUCAUAUGUCAGUAUGGAAUGCCAAAAAGGAUCAUAUCUGUCAAUGCAUUAAUUUGAACACCAUAUCGCCCCAAAAUGAACGGUGCAAUUAAAAAAAAACUCUACCAGGGUAACUCAUUUCUCAUUAGUUUAUGGAAUGGAGGUAGUUUUACCUAUCGAAGUUGAAAUUCUUUCCCUUCGAGUCUUGUCAGAGCUGAAGUUGGAUGAAGUAGAAUGGAUCUAAGCCCGAUAUAAUCAGUUAAAUUUGAUUGACGAGAAAAGGUUGAAAGCUAUCCGUCAUGAUCAAAUGUACCAAAAGUGAAUGAUGCAAGCAUACAACAAAAAGGUUUUCCUGAGAGAAUUCCAUGAGGGGGACUUGGUAUUGAAGAAGAUCCUUCCCAUACAAAAAGAUUUCAGAGGAAAAUAGAUGUCAAAUUGGGAAGGACGUCAUAUGGUAAAGAAGGAAUUUUUCGGAGGAGCAUUGAUAUUAACUGAGAUGGAUGGUAAGAGCCUGCCUAAUCUAGUAAACUCAGACUUAGUCAAGAAAUACUUCUCUUCAAAAAAUAAAAAAUAAAAAGAGAGAAAAAAAGAAAAAAAAGGGAGAGGCCAAGGCGAAAACCCGCAAAGGGCGCCUUGAGACCAAAGGGGUUUUGAAUUGAAAAACCAGAAAAGGGCAAUUCAAAUUUUGAUCGAAUGUGGGGCAUGCAGUAGUCUUGCUAUGCCUGAAUUAACAAGGAGGGGGAUGCUACGUCUUGGGGCAUCAGCAAAUUACUUUAGACCUCUUAAACACAUGUUGAGCUCAAAAUGAUCCUCAAGAAGUUCGUACAGAGAAGCUCGGGCUGCGAUAUCUGAGGCACCUUUUUUUCCUCUCACCUAUUUUGUAUUCCAACAAUGUUUGCUUUCUUUGAUUAAUUUAUUGUUUUCAAAUUUUGUUCUUGAUAAAUUUCAGCUUUGUCAAUCAUUAUGAUCUUUUCAAGCAUUUUGCAUUGAAAUAACGAUUAUUAGACCAAUAAUACUUUCAUAAAAGGAGUUCUGCAUAUUACUCUAGAAGCUUCUAAAUAGUAUAAGAACCUGAAACAUGACUAUUAUUUAGAACUAACCAAACCGAAGGGUUGGAAAUAUUUGAGAAAGAAGAGUCUAAAUAGUGACUAUUUCUUCGGGUUCCCUGUCAAAGAUACCGGCUGAACAAGAGGGCAGGGUAAUGCGUCAGUGAUAGAACCUUGAUGAAUAAAGAGCAAUGACAACCUAAGCAUUAAAAAGGGAUUAUUCUAAAAAAAUGACAAUCUGCAUUCAUGCAAAUAUCAUUCAUACACAUCUAGUUAGGAGUAUUUGAUUCAUUCUUAUCAUGACAUCCUAACCACUAGGCAUAAAUAGGUCCAUGAAAUGGAUUCUACAGGUCAUGUUCCCUAGAGAAUAGAUCAAUGAAGUUACCCAUACCCUUGAAGUUACAAUGGGAUGGAUUGAAAUCAUUAUAGCGAAUCUUAUCUUUCUGAAGUUGUAGUGGAGCAGAUUGAAGCCACCAACCUUAUCUCCCUGAAGUUGCAGCGGAGUAGACUGAAGAGAGCGAAUCUUAUUUCCCUAACGUUGUAGUGGAACAGAUUAAAGCUAUAAAUUAUGGCAGAUCUUAUCUUCUUGAAGUUGUAGUGGAGCAGAUUGAAGCCACUAGCCUUAUCACCCUAAAGUUGCAGCGAAACAGACUAAAGACAGCGAUCUUAUUUCCCUAGUGUUGCAGUGGAAGAGAUUAAAGCUACAAAUUAUGGGGGAUCUUAUUUUCCUAAAGUUGCAAUGAAGCAGAUUGAAGCCACCAGCCUUAUCUCCCUAAAGUUGCAGCAGAGCAGACUAAAGACAUCGAAUCUUAUUUCCCUGGUUUUGCAGUGGAACAGAUUAAAGCUACAAAUUAUGGCGGAUCUUAUCUUCCUGAAGUUGCAGUGGAGUAGAUUGAAGCCACCAGCCUUAUUUCCCUAAAGUUGCAGCGGAGCAGAUUAAAGACAGCGAAUCUUAUUUCCCUGGUGUUGCAGUGGAACAGAUUAAAGCUACAAAUUAUGGCGGAUCUUAUCUUCUUGAAGUUACAGUGGAGCAUAUUGAAGCCACCAGCCUUAUCUCCCUAAAGUUGCAGCGGAGCAGACUGAAGACAGCGAAUCUUAUUUCCCUAGCGUUACAGUGGAACAGAUUAAAUCACAAAUUAUGGCGGAUCUUAUCUUCCUGAAGUUGCAGUGGAGCAUAUUGAAGUCACCAACCUUAUCUCCCUGAAGUUAUAGCGGAGCAGACUGAAGACAGCGAAUCUUAUUUCCCUAAAGUUGCAGUGGAAUAGAUUAAAGCUAUAAGUUACGGAUCUUAUCUCUCUGAAGUUGCAGUAGAGCAGAUCAUAUCAAACAUUAUCUCCCCGAAGUUGCAGUGGCGCAGAUUGAAGUUAUAAGUCUUAUCUCCCUUAAGUUGCAGUGGAGCAGACUAAAACCACAAAUCUCAUUCCCCUGAAGUUGCAGCAGAGUAGAUUAAAGCUACAAGUUGUAUCUCUCUGAAGUUGCGGUGGAGUGGAUCGAAGCAACAAGAUGCAAUGGACUGGAAUGAAGCUACUUUAAGAAGAUGAGCACCAAUAAGUCAAGAUGCGGCGAGAUCGGACAAAAUUAGUCCUUCUUAAAAGUCUUUGCUCCAUGCUCGUUACACGACAACGAGCAAAGAGGGGGCAGCUGUAUUAGGCCCAAUUUGCCUAGGCCCUAGACAAAUAAAAAAUGAGAACAAAAUACAGGCCCAAUAAAAUAGUCCAGUUUUUUUACAAACCAAACCCAAAACAAACUCAAUCCAAAUAAACCCAAAACAAACCUAAUUCAAUUAAAAAACCUAAAAACUAAAUAGAAACCCUAACCCUAGCCUGCCACUACCAACUCUGCCACCUCCGUCAACGCCGUACCAACUUUGUCGCCACCGCCUACUUGCCUGCAACAGAAGUGACAAAUAGAUUAAAAAAAUAAGUUGUAAAUGGCUAUAUAAGUCAUGAAGAAAAAAUAUUAUAGCCCUCAGUUUUUUUUAAUACAAAAAAGAAGAUUCAAGCAAAAAAGGAGAAAGAAAUAUUUAAAAAUAGUCUUUUUUUUACAGAGGUAUAUGUCUAUUUUUUUCGCAUGUUUAUUUUGAAUAUAGCAUACAUAUAUAUAUUCAAAAACAUAAAAAAUUUUUACCUUUCUUGUGAUCGGAGAAGAGAGAACUGAAAGAUUCUUUUUUUGGAAUUUUAGGGGUUUUUUAGGGCAUUUUAACCCCAAAUCGGGGUUCUACUCGAAAAAAGAGCAAAAAAAGGGGUUUUUUGUGUUUUUUGGCCACCGCAGACAGCGGCGCCGUCGCCGAUGACUAGUGGCCGACGCGGCGGCCACUAGCCGGACCAACGACCGAAGCUAAGCCGGAGAGUGAGGGCUGAGAGAGAGUUGAGAGAAAGUUUUAAGUUUUUUUUAGAACAAGGGAUAAAUGAUUUUUUGUUUCAAAAAAAUACUUAUAGAAGCCCUCAAAACAACGUCGUUUUGAGGUUGGCCUUAAACACCCAAAACGGCGUCGUUUGGCCUCUCAUCCGCGCGUUGACCCAACCCGUCUACAAGGAUCAGCGUAUUUUUAAUUGAUGGGUUAUUUGCGCUUUUGGCCCUUCUGCUUUUUUCUUUGUUUACAAUUAAAUUUCUUUCAUUUUUUAAUUUUUCCCUAUAAUUUAUUUCUGCUCUCAAUUCGGUCCACCUUGAAGCUGUGCAUUUUGGAGGGUGGGAAUUAUUUCCAAUUUGGUCCCUCCUUGUUAUUCGCGCAUUCAACUUGGUCCUUUGCAUUUUUAUUUGUUUCUGAUUUGCCCCAAAUUUAUGUUUUAAAGUUCAAUUUAGUCCUUUUUGUUAUUUUUGCUAUUUUAUUAUUAAAUUAAUUAAUGUAAUAUUAUUAUUACUAUUAUUAUUUUCCUUAUAUAUAUUUUUAUAUUUUUACUAUUUUUAUUUAUCCAUUUAAAUACAUAGUUAUUAUUUCUUGGUACUUUAGUAUUUAAAAUUGUCUUCAUUUUUUUAUCAUAUUUUUUAUAUUUUUUAUUUUCAUUUCAUUUAUAUAUUUUUAUAUAUUUAUUAUUAUUAUCAUUAUUAAACUGUUUUACUUAAUAUUUCUUUAUUUAUUCAUUUAUGUGUCCAUUAUUAUUUUUUAAAAUGUUUUAAUUUUUAAUUUUUAAUUACUUAUUAUUAUAUAUAUAAUUGGUUUGUCUUUUUUUUAACUUAUUUUUGUUUUUGCUCGUAUUAUUUUUAUUUACUUUAUCGUAUUUAUUAUUCCGUUAUGCAUAUUAACACCGUACUUUAUUUCUACCAAUUCGUGUUACAUUAAUCAUUACUCAAUACAUAAUUUUUUUAAAUAAAUGAUAUGUCGUAUUUUGAGAUUCGAAAAGUCGUUCCAUAACUUAUGGGUUUUCAAUUUUCUCGAUAAAUCCGAAUACACGAAUCCUUUUUAAACAUAAGUUUUUUUUAACAAUCUCGGGAAUUAAUAAAAGAUCGUGUUCUAACUUACGAGACAUUAUUCCUUUUCUAAAACUGAGAUAAUUGAAUAAUUUCAAAAUAAGCAAAUUUUUCGACAUUUAUUCUCGUAUCGUGGUUUAAGACAUUGCGUCCUAACUUACGAGACGUAAUUUUCGUUCUCGAUUAACGUGAAAUAGGCUUAUUUCUCGAAAAUUUUUAAUAUUUUAACAAAGGAUCAUAUUUUAAAUCUCUUCAAAGUUUUUAAUUUUCGACACUAAGACAUUAAUAAAUCAUUAAUAAAUCAACUAGGUACCAAUUUUUGGGCGUUACGAGGGGGCAAAUCCUUCCUCGUACAUCACCGACUCCCGAACCCAUCUUUCUGAAUUUCAUGGACCAAAAUCAUUGUUUUAAUAAAUCAUGUCGUUUGUUCAAAAAUAACUGUUACGAGGUGACCCGAUCACACCUCAUAAAAAUGUUCGGUGGCGACUCCCAUGUUCAUUUUUGUUUUUAAAAUGAAAGUCGACCUCCUUUUACAAAAAAAUGGUUUCGACAACAAGAAAUUUAAGAAAUAAAAGAUUUUUAUAAUCCUGGUUUAUUACCAGAUUUAUAUAAGUUGAUUAAUGAAAUAUGGAAAACCCAUGUUUUUGACCAAAGAGCAAAUUUCAAAAGAGCUCUUAGUAAGCUUUCAUUAUUUUUAGUUGAAAAAACAACUAAAGAAAAUAAAGCUGAAGAUUUACUAUUAAAAUCUAUUUUAUAUAGGGAUUGGGAUGAAUUCCAAAUAUAUUUUAUGGAAAUUUAGGAGAUAAACAAUCUUCUUGAUAUAUUUCAAUAUUUUAUUGAAAAAAGGAAAAAUAGUCCCAUUAUGAAUAAAGUAUUUAGAAUAUGCUUAUAUAAUAAAGCUAGAAAUAUUUUACCUAUAGAAAUAUUUAACAAAAUAAAUGGAGACAUUUGCAAACAACAAGCUCUAUUUAAAAAAUAUUUUCAGAAUAUUUUUACAAGCUUAUAUUUUUGCUAAUGAUGGAGGAGAAGAGAUUCCUACUAUCAAAUUUAGAUUAGAUCAUGAACCGUUCGAUAUAACUAAUAUUGAAUGGGGUUUUAUAAAAGAAAUAAUAGUACAAAACUUUUCUUUUCAUCUUUUAAAAGAUUUCCUUGCAGUAGUUAAAACGACAUUAUCAAACAUCAUACACAAUGAUGACGUUUUCUACUAUUUUAUAUACAAAUAUACAGUCUUCUUGGUAUUGCUGAAAAAGAAAAUUUUUAUCAGCCUUAUCAAAUAUGGAUUAUUCAGAAGAUAAUUGGAAGCCCUCAGUUAUUUGCUGUCAAAGAAAAUAAAGAACACUUGGCAACAACAAUUGACAGAUGUCAUAAUGAUUUAGAUUAUUAUCAAACCCAAGCUGGGAUUGAUUGAAUAGCUAAAGCCAAAUAUCUUCUUCAAUAAAAAGAUUAUAAACUCUGGACCGAUGGCAGAAGAAUAUUGGCAUAUCAUUCUUUGGCAUAUCAUUCUGAAGAAAGAGAUAAAGAAUCCAUACGACUAUUAAAAAAGAUAGCCGACAUAGAAAUUGAAGAUUUUCCAUCUCACAUUCUGGAAAAAAAUCAAAAGCACAUGGGAGAAUUGGAAUUCACCAAGACUUUCAUUUGAUUCAUUAAAUUUGGAUGAAAUUUAAGAAAUGAAUAUAGGCAACAUCCAAAAAAGAUAAAACCAAAAAAAAGAUGAUACCAAGAAAGGAAGCAACUCAAGAAAAAGGGCAUCCAUUAGCAAACAAAAAGUUUGGAAACAUAAAAUCUAUGAUGUGAAAACCACAAACAAACAAAAAGUUUGUAAGAUAGACACAACAAAUCAACUAUGAUGCAAUUAAUGAUGGAAGCAACCAUUAAUGAUGUCAGAUAACAAUCAAUUCAACCAUGCAACGUGGAAGCAACCAGGUGCAUGCAAUUAAAGAAGUACAACGUGGAAGUAACCACAUCCACAAAAAGACAGGAUCCUUAUUAGGAACAAUGUGUGGGAUUCAAAAAACAAUUGUAUAGAAUUAAGAAAUUCAACUAUAAAUAGAGGAAGGAAAUCAAUUGUAUACGCAUCGAUCUUUUAUAGUAUUUUUUUCUUUUUUAGCUUUUCUUUGUAAAACUUUCCUUUACUUUACUCUUGUAAUAUCCUUAUAAGUCUUCUGCAUAAACCCUCGCACUCUACCUUCCCCCAGAAAUUGGUAUCAGAGGUGCCGGUGUAAUGAUUUCUUGGAGAAAUAAUAUCAUAGUAUUCAUUGUAAGUCUUUAUCUGUAACAUCCCGAAAUAGGGCCUAAACAAAAUAGUGGUUGCGAAACCACAAAUAUGAAAUAGAAAAGUUUAUUACGAUGAAUUAUCAUGAUUUACUGAUUGAUCGGAUGCAUGUAUUAGAGUAACGAUAAGAAUUUUAUAGAUUGCAUGUUUAAUUUGUCUAUUAGGGCUUAUUUGCAAAAGUUGCAAAAUAUGUGUUCUAGUUCAUUAAGUACUUAACUGAAAUGGGGGUCUAAAUAGAUGUCCUGAAAUAGAUAUUAGAUCAUUAAAGUUUGAUGGACAAAAAUAGACAUGGUUAGUAAGUAAGGUAUUUAAGGGCAUUUUGGUAAAAUGCCUUAAUUAAUGAAUAAAGACAAAAUAACAUGAAGUUAUCAAGGGAACAUAAAGACAAAAUAACAUAAAGACAAAAUAAAAUGCCUUAAUCCAUGGCCGAAUUUAUCAAGGGAACACCAUGGCUAUGGUUUUUUCAUCUUCCAAGCUUCAUAGUAAGUCCGUUCUAGCCCCGUUUUUCAUGUUCUUUACAUUUUUAGAAUCUCGGUAACUCGCUUAAGCUAAUUCUACCAUUAAUUAAAGCUAGGAUUUAUAUUUGGAAAAUUACCCAUAGAUGAAAAGUGUGUAUUUUGAUGUUUCAUGAUAGAAUAUGAAGAUUAGAAUUAUGUUAAACGAUUUUUGCUAAGCUAUUUUCAGUGAAAACGAGUGAAACGGCAUAAUCGGUAAAAUUUAUUAUUGUUAAUAAGUGCAUGUUAGAGCAAGAAUUUGUUUUUGCCAUAGAAGGGAAAAAUGUUCAUCAUGUAAUAAAACAUAAUAAAAAGGAAUAAAGUUUAAUUUCUGAUCCCAGGGGAAAAAUCGUAAUUAUGCAAAAGUUUAGGGGCAAAAAUAUAAAUUUUGUCAAAAUAUGUUUUAGGUCCGAAAUGAUUAGUAAAUUGAUUAAAUAAGUGAAAUAUGAUGUUUUAGAUCCCGAAAAAUGUGAUUUGGACCUAGAACGGGAGAAAAGCUGAAAAUCGGGAAAGUUGAUCAAAUGGCCGUUUUGGUAUCAAGGUAAGUUCAUGUGUUUAAUAUGCAUUUAAUUAAGUAUGUUUGAAUGCUAAAUUGAUAUAUUAGUUAUAAAUUCUUUAGUAUUGAUUUUUGAAUAUAAUGAUAAUAGUUGAGAAAUGUUCGAUAAUGAUUCGACAUUAAAAAUGAGAAUUCGAAUAAGUUUACAUAUAAGACCAUAGUUGUAAUAUGGCUUUGUAUAAGAUCAAGAAAGUAUUGAAUAGCAUAAUUUGAGGAGAGUAAGAUAAAUUGAGGAUAUGAUGAGAUUGAGAAUGUAAGUAUGUAAGUUGAGUAGCAUUUUAUUAUUAUGCAAUUGUUGCUAUUAUUAUUAUUGAGUUAUGUGACUGGCCUUGAGAAUUUGAGCAAGUAUGUUUCAACUAUGAGUUGUCAAGGCAUUGAUAUCUCAAGGUCCAUGUUUAUAACAUGGCAAUUAAGGAAGAAUUGGCAGAAAAGUCUAUGUUUAUAACAUGGAAAUUAAGAAAGAAUUGACGGAAAAUACCAUGGUUGGACCAUGGCAGUAAGUGUGCCAAUGUAAGACCAUGUCUGGGACAUGGCAUCGGCACAGACAGAGAAGAGUCAAUGUAAGACUAUGUCUGGGACAUGGCAUCGGCACUGAUAUGUGAUCCCAUGUAAGACCAUAUCUGGGAUAUGGCAUUGGCGUCCUACCAGGUGUACGAAAUAUCCCGAACAUCCCUAAUAUUACAAGGAGUUCAACGGGAAAUUCAAGGAGUAUGCUCAAGAUAAGUAAGAGUAGGAUAUGUGUGUAUUAUGACUAGGCACAGGUAUGUACAUAAGGCUUAAUAAUAUUGAGGUUAUAAGUUGAUGAUAUUAAAAGUAUUUUAAUGGGUAUAUUCAAGUAUUAAGUAAGUGAUAAGUUUUUAGUUAUACUUAUGACGCUUUGUGACAUGAUUGGCAAUAUGUCUAUAUUAUGAAAGAGUAUUAAUGUGUUAAAUGAGAUGUUGCAGGUACGUAAGCAAGCUAUUAAGUAAGGUGCUUUAUUUUUUUUUAUUCUGAGCUUUUGGUAAGGUUACCGAUGAAAAAGAUGGGAAAGUAUGAACUUAGCAUUAUUUAUGCAAAUUAUGAAAGCUUAGUAAUAACCUAAAUUCAUUACUAAUUAUUGUUAUUUUACAUGUGAACUUACUAAGCUUUAUAAGCUUACCUCUUUCCUUUCCUUUGUUCCAGAGUCUUAUCAAACAAGCUCGGGUUGGAGGUCAUGGAAGAUCGCUUCACACUAUCAACUAUCAAGUUACCAAUUGGGUAUUUUCAUUGACACACUUUUUAAGUUAUGGCAUGUAUAGGGACUUAGUCAUUUUGUGUGUAUGUCUUUAUGAAAUGGCUAAUUAGGAGUAUGUUUGAUGUUAUGUAUGCCUAAAUGAUAGUUAAUGCAAAGAAAUAAUAAAAGAGUAAAAAUUUGCAAUGGUACAGUUUUUGGAUAGCAGCAAUGACGUGAUUUUUAAAAAUCACAAAAAUUAGUAGAAAUGGAAUUAGAGAGUGAAUGAGAUAUAGAAUUAAAUCUUAUUGAGUCUAAUUUCAUAUGAAAGAAACAGUGUAGGCAAAGAAAUUUUAUAUUAUGAGAUAUUUAAAUUUUAGUGUGACAGGGCCAGAAUGGUUUCUGAAGUCCCCUGUUCUGAAUUUAGAAAAUCAUUCAAAAUUUGUACAGAAAUAAUUAUGAGUUAGAAUUUAUAUGCUUAGAAUCCUUAAUGAGUCUAUUUUCAAAGGAAAGAAUGGAAAUAUCAUCUGAAUUCUGUACAAUGAGAUAAUUCAUUUUUAGUGAAGAGUGGUCGGAACUGUCAGACAGCAAAAUAGGGGAGAUUUUAACUAAUAAACUGUACUAAUUGGCCAACCCAAAAAUUCUUAAAAUUUUAUGAUAAUAAGAUAUAUGAGUCUAGUUUUAGGGAAAAUUUACGGAUUUAAAUUUUGAGUUUUUUAACCCGAGUUAUAAUUAAUUUACUGACUGCUGCGCAGUUAGACAGUUUUAUUGUGGACAGUGAAAUAAAUUAUUUUAAUUUGUUUAAGUAUUUGGAAAAUUUUUAAUGUUCCCGGUUUGGACCCGAACCAUUUUCAUUGCAUGUUUUAGGGUCUUGAAGAUCCUUUUUAGGGACAUAUUGAUUGAACGCGAGCGAAUUGAUUUUAAAAGCAAAUUUUUAUGCUCCGAAUUAGUAAGUUAAGUUAGGUAACGCUUCGUGCUCGAUUCCGGCAACGGUCUUGGGUAAGGGCUGUUACAUUAUCUUUGAUUUACAAUUCUGUUUAUUUCAUGUUUAUUUGUCUCAAAACCCAUAUAUUUGUUAUUCUGUCUUUUUGUUGCCGUUGAGUCCAGGGAGGACGUGUAGGCCUUUGAGAGAAGACAUUAUAGAUAACAGACGGUUUUAGGUACCUAAGAUAAAUAAUAUAGAGGAAAUCGACUGUUUAUAUAAAGAUAAACCUUGUAAUCAUACUAUGCAUAUAGACUCUAAGAAUGAAAAUAACAUUUCAUCUUUGAGUAAGUGUUUUAAUAGUUUAGUAGAUAUAACUUCUAUAAAUUUUCAUAAAUUAUAUAAUAAGGUUAGUAAUAUAGAACAAAAAGUAAAUAUUUUAGGAGAAGUAAAAAAUUUAGAUUUGAAUAGCGAAUCUAAAGAAAUAUUAUCUAGUGUUAAUAAUAACUUUGAAAAAGUUAUCAAUAAUAAUAUAAAUCAAGAAGUAUAUUUAGUUCCUUUAUAUUAUGGUAAUAGUAACAUAAUAUUAACUUUAUCUGAAGAAGAGGAAACUUCAUCAGAUGAAUCGCCAUCUAAUCCUAAAAAACAUAAAAAUCAUAAAAAAUACAAAACAACAAAAAUAUGAUUUCCAAUCCUAUAAAGAACUUAUAGAACAUUGGAAAUAUAAAUUUACUAAUAGUAAAGAUAAAUUAGAAAGAGUAGAAUAUUUAAAACUUAUUGAACAACUUUAUGAAGAACAUAAAGAUUUGUUUACUUUGUUUAAUUAUCAUUAUAUGAUGAACUAUGACACUACAGACAAUAGUAGUUCUAGUAAUUCUGAGUUAACUUUAGAAACAAAUCUAGAAGAUUUAAAAGUUACUGGUUAUAAAUCAGAUGAAGAAAACACUUUAAUUGAUGAGGAUAAAAAUAUAGAUAUCCCAAAACCUAUGGAUACUGAGCAAACAGAUCCUUAUGGAAAAAGAAAAAUAGAACCAGAUCUUCAAAAAGAUGAUUAUCUGAGAUAUUUUAAUAAAGAUUUUGAAAAAGUUGAAAAUACAACUAGGAUUUUUGGUAAUAAAAUCGAAAAUAUAGCUACAAAUGAUGUAAAACUUGAAUAUCCAGGAGAAAUAUCAAGUCAACCUGUUCAACCAAGAAUAAAUGAUUUAAAUAAAAGAAAUGUGGCUCAAGGAGGAAUAUAUUUAGACUUAACUUCCUAUAUCAGACUAUGAAAAAACCAUAGAUGAUUGGGCACAGUCUAUGACUAUUGUAGUAAACAAUAACACAUGGUCAAAAAAAUUUUUUUAACUACUUUGUAGGAACAUUUCAAGGAGAUGUUCUACAAUUUCUCAGACGAUGGGAAGAAUUUGAGAAAGGAAAAGAACAAAAAGGGCAGUUAAUCAACCAUAUAGGAACUCCCAAAGACCUUUUAAAAGGAUUAACCCUUAUUCUAAAAACAGUAUUUUGUGGUUAUACUAAUAAAAAAGAUUAGGAUAGUAUAUCUAAUUAUACUUUAUCAAAAAUUAAGUUAUGUGAUAUUAGAUAUUUAGAAGAUUUUUCUAAAAAUUUCUUCAUGAAUACCAAAAACUAAAAAUUGAAAAUAUAGAAUUUUGGAAAAGCCAAUAUUUUCAUAAAUUACCACCUCUGUGGGAUGAGAUAUGUAUAAAAAAGUAUGUAUCUUAUUUAGAGAAACAUAGUGAUAUGUUUGGUAUACCAUCAGAUAGUAUAGAUACUAUAGGAAAUAGGAUAAACUUUGCAAAAGAAAGAAUAACUUUACAUUGUUUGCAAAGUAAAACUGCUAAACAAGUUAAGCAUAAACUAAGUACUAAUUAUUGUACUAAAAUUCUAGAAAAUGAAUGAGAAUUUGGGUGUAAACAAAUACUUCCUAAUAAUUAUAAGAAAAAUAAAAAAUAUAAAUUAGCUAGAUGGAAACCAGGAAAUAAAAAAUAUACUGGUAAAAACAAAAAGUUUGUUAGAAGAAAAAAUUCUAAUUCUAAAAAACAAAUAUGUAAAUGUUUUAUAUGUGAUGAAGAAGGCCACAUAGCAACAAAUUAUCCUAACAAAGGAAAAAAUGCUAGAAAAAUAAUUAAAAGUCUUGAAGAACAAAAUUUAGAAAUAUACUAUGAAAAGAAAAUAAAUCCUGAAGAAAUAUUAUAUUAAUUAAUAUCAUAAACAAAUUCUGAUAUUGAUGAAGAAUAUAUAUUUAUGUUAGGAACUAGUACUAAUAAUUAAUUAGAAGAAAUUCCUAAUUCUUAACAAUAGGAUAUAAAAUUGGGAAAUUUAAUUGGAGAAGAAAAAGCCUUUCUGAUAAAAUGAUAGAAAAAAUUAAUAAAAAUUAUAUCUCUAAAGAAGAAGUACAUAAAAUAUCUAAGUUUAAAAUAUGGAGUCAAAGACACAUAGAAAAAAUAAGCAGAAAUACCGUUGCUAAAGAUACUAGAGGAGGAUUAACAGAAAUCCCGUUAUUUACUAAAGAUAAAAUCAAGAAGAUUAAAAAGGAAUAUCCUCAGGUUACAUAUAUCCAUUUAGGGAUAAUAAUGAUAACUAUUAGAGCUCUAUUUAGGAAGGGUCAUGAUAUUCCUAUAAUAAUUGUUCUUUUAAAUAAAAGAUUUGAAAAUCCAAUAAAGGCACUUAUUGGAGGAAUUUAGUCUAAUUUACAUACAUGAGUAAUAGGAUUUAAGGUUAAACCAAAUUACUUUAUAUCCAUUACAAAUCCUCUAAUAGAAGAGUGUUUAUGCCUUAGAAUUCACACAAAAAAAUUUGAUAUUAAUGAUUUAGCAGAAGAUCUAGCAAUAAGUUGGACUUCUAUUAAUGAAUAUACAAAUACAGCUGAGGUAGAAAUAAAAGAGAUUAAUAACAAAAUUAUUGAACUUUUUGAACCUAAUAAAUUUACUACCGAGAUACAGCCAAAACUAUUACAUUUAAGAUAUCUAUCAAUACCAAAAGACUCGAUGAUAGAAAAAAUUAAUAGUGCAAGUACUUCUAAACCAGUAAGUACUAUAGAAUAUAUGUCAUCUGGAAAUAGAUUAUAUUUUAAAAAUAAUACUAUAACAAAUACAGAUGAAAAUUUAAUGUUACCUUCAAAUAAUCCAAUAGAGGAAGAUGAGGAUAAUAUUAGUAAUAAUUCUACACCAAUAGGAGUAAAAACAGUACAUAUUCCUAUUUUCCCUACAAAACCAAGUAAAAAAUCUAGAAAUACGAGAAUGGAAGAAAUUCAAACUUCAACAAUCGUUAAACAAAUGAAUGUUGGAAUAUAUAUUGAAAUUACAUUUUAAUUUAGAGAAUAUAAAAAAUAUUCUUCACAUGCUUUAUUAGAUACUGGAGCUACAAUUUGUAGUUGUAGAAAAAAUGCUAUUCCGAUAAAAAAAUUGGGAAUUAAUGAAGCAUCCUAUAAAAAUAGUAGGAAUAGAUGGUAAUAAAACCAUAAUUAAUUAUAAAGCUAAAAAUAUACCAAUCUACAUAAAUAAUGUUAGAUUUGUAAUACCAAAAAUUCUAUGUUUCCCUAAAAUGCAAGGAGACAUAUUAUUGGGUAAUAACUUUAUAUGUCAAUAUUUAUCAUUUACUAUUGAUAAAAAAUAAAUUAGAUUAACUAUAAAAAAAUCUUCUAUAGAAAUACCAUUAGUAGAUAAUAAUAAAAUUGUGUGUAAUAAAACUUUUACACCAUUAAAAGAAUAAAUUAUGUACUUUUAUGUUAUUAUAUAAAGUACUUAUGGAUAGAGGUAAAAAAAACCUCUAAUAAAAGAAACAGUUGGAGAAUGGACAACUGUUCAUAAAAAGCCCAACAAAGGGAAAAUAACAACAAAUUCCAAACAAAGAUCUGUACCUGCACAAGUACCAUUUUAUCCUAAUUAAGGAUAUUAUGUGCCUUAUCCAAUGGUAAAUCAACCUAUUGGAACUUCUUUAUCAUUGACACCAAAAAUGGUAAGCCAAUCACAAUGGUCCCAAGAUCCAAAUGUGGCAUUUCAAGCCAGCUAUGCUAAAAUGAUUAAGGGAAUAGAGAAUUUGUUGAAACAACAACAAACAACAAAUUCAAGAGAUAAAAGGUUUUUAUAAUCCUGGUUUAUUACCAGAUUUAUAUAAGUUUAUUAAUGAAAUAUGGAAAACCCAUGUUUCUGACCAAAGAGCAAAUUUCAGAAGAACUCUUAGUAAGCUUUCAUUAUUUUUAGUUGAAAAAACAACUAAUGAAAAUAAAGCUGAAGAUUUACUAUUAAAAUCUAUUUUAUAUAGGGGUUGGGAUGAAUUCCAAAUAUAUUUUAUGGAAAUUAAGGAGAUAAACAAUCUUCUUGAUAUAUUUCAAUAUUUUACUAAUAAAGGGAAAUAUAGUCCCAUUAUGAAUAAAGUAUUUAGAAUAUGCUUAUAUCAUAAAGCUAGAAAUAUUUUACCUAUAGAAAUAUUUAACAAAAUAAAUGGAGACCUUUGCAAACAACAAGCUUUAUUUAAAAAAUAUUUUUAGAAUAUUUUCUACAAGCUUAUAUUUUUACUAAUGAUAUAGGAGAAGAGAUUCCUACUAUCAAAUUUAGAUUAGAUCAUGAACCGUUCGAUAUAACUAGUAUUGAAUGGGGUUUUAUAAAAGAAAUAAUAGUACAAAGCUUUUCUUUUCAUCUUUUAAAAGAUUUUCCUGCAGUCGUUAAAACGGCAUUAUCAUGAUGACUUUUUCUACUAUUUUUAUAUACAAAUAUGCAGUCUUAUUGGUAUUGCUAAAAAAGAAAAAUUUUAUUAGUCUUAUCAAAUAUGGAUUAUUCAGAAGAUAAUUGCAAGCCCUCAGUUAUCUACUGUCAAAGAAAAUAAAGAACACUUGGAAAUAACAAUUGACAGAUGUCACAAUGAUUUAGAUUAUUAUCAAACCCAAGCUGGGAUUGAUUUAAUAGCUAAAGCCAAAUAUCUUCUUCAGCAAAAAGAUUAUAAACUCUGGACCGAUGGCAGAAGAAUAUUGGCAUAUCAUUCUUUGGCAUAUCAUUCUGAAGAAAGUGAUGAAGAAUCCGUAUGAAUAUUAAAAAAGAUAGCCAACAUAGAAAUUGAAGAUUUUCCAUCUCACAUUCUAGAAAAAAUCAGAAGCACAUGGGAGAAUUGGAAUUCACCAAGAUUUCAUUUGAUUCAUUAAAUUUGGAUGAAAUUGAAGAAAUGAAUCUAGACAACAUCCAAGAAAGAUAAAACAAAAAAAAAAGAUGAUACCAAGAAAGGAAGCAACUCAAGAAAAAGGGCAUCCACUAGCAAACAAAAAGUUUGGCAAUAUAAAAUCUAUGAUGUGACAACCACAAACAAACAAAAAAGUUUGUAAGAUGGACACAACAAAUCAACUAUGACGCAAUCAAUGAUGGAAGCAACCAUUAAUGAUGUCAGAUUACAAUCAAUUCAACCAUGCAACAUGGAAGCAACCAGGUGCAUGCAAUUAAAGAAGUACAACGUGGAAGUAACCACGUCCACAAAAAGACAUGAUCCUUAUUAGGAACACUGUGUGGGAUUCAAAAAACAAUUGUAUAGAAUUAAGAAAUUCAACUAUAAAUAUAGGAAGGAAAUCAAUUGUAUAGGCAUCGAUCUUUUAUAGUAUCUUUUCCCUUUUUAGCUUUUCUUUGUAAAACUUUCCUUUACUUUACUUUUGUAAUAUCCUUAUAAGUCUUCCGCAUAAACCCUCACACUCAACCUUCCCCCAGAAAUUUAAGAAUUAAUUCCCAUACUUUAAGUAAAUCUUUUUAGUAGAAGAAAGAAAUGACAAUUUGGGCACUAAUAACCAAUGACAAAUUAAAGCUUUGACUCUAGUUGAACCUUGUUUCAUCACCUUAGCACCUUACUUAGCAGGAAAAAUAGCUUUGUGGAUGAGUGGAUAUAAAAAGGCUUACAACCAUUUAAUAUAGUUUGGUUGAUGUGGGAUGUAACCAAGUUUUUGCUUCAUGAAUUUAAGUUGGAUUUUCUCUAUGUUGUAUGCUUCAUAAAACAUGCUAAAUAUUGCAGAUCCAUCCACUCUAGGAACCACGAGACUCGAAGUUUACAAUCAAGUCCCUUGGCUCAACUCUCAACUUGGAACGGGCAAACCAGUGUUAAAACAGCUCGAGAUCCAACUCAAGCAAAGCCAAACCCGCAUUCCAUCACCUUAAAACCCCCUACUCAGGUUACAAGCUCAAGUUACCAAGCUCGGCGACCAAUAAGGAGAGAAAGGGCUAUAUCUACAAUUAGUCCCUUUUGAUUUUGGUCGAUGUGGUAUUCUCUUUCUUUCGAGGAUGCUUUUACUUGUUGAGGUGAUGAGUUUGUGAACUUAAUGGAAAAGUUUAAAAUGAAGAUUUGGAGAAAAACUAGGCAAUAGGUUUUACAUAAUUUGUGAAAAAAUUCAUCCUGAGUUAAACAUAAUUCUAAUUUGAGACGUUGAUUUCAAUAUAUAACAUUGUCAUUUUCCCCCAUCCAAUUCAGAUCUUAAUAUCAAUGUCUUUUUAUUUUAUUACUAUAAUUUUAUAUUCCGCCACCCAAAUAAAUUAAAGUAAUGUAUCAUACCGAACAUUUCAUCCCAUAAUAUUACAUUCUCAUAACCUCAUUACAUAAUCUUAGAUUUUUUGAACCAACUGUUAUUGGUAAUAUCACAUUACCAAAAUCACGUUGUUUGCUGGAUUGGGCCAUGUUAUUCACGAAGCCUGUUUUCUCUAAGUAUUUAUGUUGUGGAUGUCUUAUAGUUUUGGACUUCUUCUAGUUGGUUUUAGGGUUACAAUAAAAUCCAGCAGAUUUAAAUAAUAAAAAAAGAAUUGCACUUCAUAUGCCCAUCUGGCCCAACCCAAAUUUUUUGUUUCUUUCCCAAAAUCAGAAGCCCAAAACUUAAAACCCAACAACAAAAAACCCUAUAAAUCAUCAUUUAUACAUCAUCACGCAAACCCUAACCCUCAACCUCCAUUUUGCCCAUUUCACUGCUCUCCCCUAGAUCGUCUCCAAGAGAGAGCUCUCCUUACAGCUACCGUACACAUUCACACACACAUUCACUGAAUGGGUCGAGUCAUCCGAGCUCAACGUAAGGGUGCUGGUUCCGUCUUCAAGGCCCACACCCACCACCGCAAGGGUCCUGCUCGUUUCCGCAGCCUCGACUUCGGUGAACGAAAUGGCUACCUCAAGGGUGUUGUCACCGAUGUCAUCCACGACCCUGGCCGUGGCGCUCCUUUGGCCCGUGUCGUCUUCCGUCACCCUUUCCGUUACAAGAAGCAGAAGGAGCUUUUCGUUGCCGCCGAGGGUAUGUACACUGGACAGUUCGUCUAUUGUGGUAAGAAGGCUACUCUUGUGGUCGGAAAUGUAUUGCCUCUUAGAUCUAUCCCUGAAGGAGCUGUCGUUUGCAACGUCGAGCAUCAUGUCGGUGAUCGUGGGGUUUUCGCUAGGGCUUCUGGUGAUUACGCUAUUGUUAUUAGUCACAACCCUGAUAACGACACCACCAGGUCACUGAUUCUUGCUAUGUUUUAACUUCAAUUUUGAUUUGGAUAUGAUUGAUGCCUGAUUGUUAUUUGGAUCUGUUAUCAUUAUUGUCGUAUAUUAUUUUAGUUAUUGCUUAUCCUAUGUAUAUAAUUUGCAAUAAUUAUAUGUGCUCAUAUAUAGGCCUACCUCGUGAGAAAUAAAGAAAAUUACAUAUUGGAUGUGAAGGACUCGAAGUAUGAAUUGAUGUAAUGUAAAAAGGAAUAACAUCUCUUAGGUAGACUAUACCUUCUACUGAGGUUUUAGUUGGAUGGGUUGACUUAGAUUACUAUUUUCGUUCUUAGAUGUGAAAUAUCAUUUUCUUCACAGGUUCAAGGGGAUGGUAACAUGGUUGGGGAAGUGUGGAUUAAUUAGUUGUUUUGGUAGUGAGACUUUUGGUUUGUAAUUUUACAGGAUCAAGCUUCCAUCUGGUUCGAAGAAGAUUGUUCCAAGUGGUUGUCGUGCCAUGAUUGGGCAGGUUGCUGGAGGUGGUAGGACUGAGAAACCUCUGCUUAAGGCUGGUAAUGCUUUCCACAAGUAUAGAGUGAAGAGGAACUGCUGGCCUAAGGUUCGUGGUGUGGCUAUGAACCCAGUUGAGCAUCCCCACGGAGGUGGUAACCAUCAACACAUUGGUCAUGCUAGUACAGUUAGACGUGAUGCUCCACCUGGACAAAAGGUUGGUCUUAUUGCUGCAAGGAGGACUGGUAGGCUCAGAGGACAAGCUGCUGCCACUGCUGCCAAGGCCGAUAAGGCAUAAUAGGAUACUAGUUGUUUUGGCGUUUAUAUUUACAUCAAUGACUGUUAAAGCACAUUUAAGCUAGAAAUUUUGUUUGAAAUUUCAGAUAUGGUACUGUUUUGGAGUUUGGAUGACAGUUGUUUAUGUUUUCGAGUUUGGGUUUUUAUGUGAAAGUGUUUUAUGCCAGUGUUUCCAAUCAUUGUUCUAUUCGUAGCUUCCAUAAUGAUUUGGUUU